RNAcentral lists this long non-coding RNA (433 nucleotides) under Brachypodium distachyon (stiff brome). RNAcentral describes it as "long non-coding RNA (BDIS_LNC004946)". The record is from RNAcentral. Lineage: Eukaryota; Viridiplantae; Streptophyta; Magnoliopsida; Poales; Poaceae.
UCGUUUAAUGCAUCUACUGUGCAGCUGUAUCAUUUCUUUCAUCAGUUCAGGCAGAAGAUAGGUUUGCACAGACAAUUAUUUCCUUUGCUGCCAGCACAUAAAUUCAUCACAUCUGAAGCUAACUUGUAAUGAAGCACAGGAAGCACAGUCUAUCCUUCAGUUUAAUGCAUUCUAUCCUCCGUAACAAACAAAAGAUACCAUGUGUUGGGCUGCAUAUCAAUCGAAGGUACCAUAAGUUCAGUUGUUUCAACCAGCAGAAAUUGAAAAUCAAGCAUCAUGCGUGAUCUCCAUUUACUCUGGCAUUAUGUAUUUGGUUGAACACAAAUGAAGUUAACUUCUGAUUUAAUCUGACUGUCAGGGCAGCCUCUGAUGGGAGUGUUUCUCCAUACAUACCGGGUGGACCGUGGCUGGUGAGGUCCAGGUUUGUAGCUCC